UACGAGGGGGGCUAGCGUUGCUCGGAAUCACUGGGCGUAAAGCGCACGUAGGCGGCUUACUAAGUCAGGGGUGAAAUCCUGGAGCUCAACUCCAGAACUGCCUUUGAUACUGGUGAGCUUGAGUCCGGAAGAGGUGAGUGGAACUGCGAGUGUAGAGGUGAAAUUCGUAGAUAUUCGCAAGAACACCAGUGGCGAAGGCGGCUCACUGGUCCGGUACUGACGCUGAGGUGCGAAAGCGUGGGGAGCAAACAGG
RNAcentral lists this ribosomal RNA (253 nucleotides) under uncultured bacterium. Its description in RNAcentral is "partial 16S ribosomal RNA". It matches the Rfam family "Bacterial small subunit ribosomal RNA", at positions 524 to 776 of the family's 1533-position model. The record is from RNAcentral.